RNAcentral lists this ribosomal RNA (461 nucleotides) under uncultured bacterium. RNAcentral describes it as "partial 16S ribosomal RNA". It matches the Rfam family "Bacterial small subunit ribosomal RNA", at positions 29 to 507 of the family's 1533-position model. The record is from RNAcentral.
AUGCACGCUGACAGAAUGCUUAACACAUUCCAGUCAUUGGCGAAGCUGCGCUUGCGCAGUCUAGCCAAGGCGGACGGGUGAGUAACGCGUAAGGAACUUGCCCUGCAGACAGGGAUAACAGACGGAAACGACUGAUAACACCUGGUAUUGUCAGGCUGGCGCAUGCCGGCCUGAUGAAAGGAGACGCUGCAGGAGAGCCUUGCGUCCUAUUAGCUAGUUGGUGGGGUAACGGCCCACCAAGGCGAUGAUAGGUAGCCGGCCUGAGAGGGUGAACGGCCACAAGGGGACUGAGAUACGGCCCUUACUCCUACGGGAGGCAGCAGGGGGGAAUAUUGGAAAAUGGGGGCAACCCUGAUCCAGCAAUUCUGUGUGCACGAAGAAGGUUUUCGGAUUGUAAAGUGCUUUCAGCAGGGAAGAAGAAAGUGACGGUACCUGCAGAAGAAGCGACGGCUAAAUACGUG